AGCGAACGCUGGCGGCAGGCCUAACACAUGCAAGUCGAACGAACCUUUCGGGGUUAGUGGCGGACGGGGGAGGAACACGUGGGAACGUGCCUUUAGGUUCGGAAUAACUCAGGGAAACUUGUGCUAAUACCGAAUGUGCCCUUCGGGGGAAAGAUUUGUCGCCUUUAGAGCGGCCCGCGUCUGUUUAGCUAGUUGGGUGAGGAAAUGGCUCACCAAGGCGACGAUCAGUAGCUGGUCUGAGAGGAUGAUCAGCCACAUUGGGGCUGGGACACAGCCCAGACUACUGCGCGAUGCAGCAGUGCGUAAUCCUGCGCUACCGGCUGAGGCAUGACGCAGCCAUGCCGCGUGAGUGAUGUAGGUCUUAGGGUUGUAAAAUUCUUUAACCGGGGGCGAUAAUGACGGUACCCAGAGAAGAAGCCCCGGCUAACUUCGUG
RNAcentral lists this ribosomal RNA (434 nucleotides) under uncultured bacterium. RNAcentral describes it as "partial 16S ribosomal RNA". It matches the Rfam family "Bacterial small subunit ribosomal RNA", at positions 29 to 507 of the family's 1533-position model. The record is from RNAcentral.